This 468-nucleotide ribosomal RNA is filed under the name uncultured bacterium. RNAcentral describes it as "partial 16S ribosomal RNA". It matches the Rfam family "Bacterial small subunit ribosomal RNA", at positions 28 to 507 of the family's 1533-position model. The record is from RNAcentral.
GACGAACGCUGGCGGCGUGCUUAACACAUGCAAGUCGAACGGAAAGGCCCUGCUUUUGUGGGGUGCUCGAGUGGCGAACGGGUGAGUAACACGUGAGUAACCUGCCCUUGACUUUGGGAUAACUUCAGGAAACUGGGGCUAAUACCGGAUAGGAGCUCCUGCUGCAUGGUGGGGGUUGGAAAGUUUCGGCGGUUGGGGAUGGACUCGCGGCUUAUCAGCUUGUUGGUGGGGUAGUGGCUUACCAAGGCUUUGACGGGUAGCCGGCCUGAGAGGGUGACCGGCCCCAUUGGGACUGAGAUACGGCCCAGACUCCUACGGGAGGCAGCAGUGGGGAAUAUUGCACAAUGGGCGGAAGCCUGAUGCAGCAACGCCGCGUGGGGGAUGACGGCCUUCGGGUUGUAAACCGCUUUCGCCUGUGACGAAGCGUGAGUGACGGUAAUGGGUAAAGAAGCCCCGGCUAACUACGUG